Molecule: long non-coding RNA, 558 nt
Filed under: Phaseolus vulgaris (common bean)
Lineage: Eukaryota; Viridiplantae; Streptophyta; Magnoliopsida; Fabales; Fabaceae
Description: long non-coding RNA (PVUL_LNC001310)
Source: RNAcentral
UUUUGUCACGAAAUAAUUGGUAUACUUGACAACAAAUUUUUCUUUAUUUCAAUCAAGAAUAUACCUCUUAGAUUUUUCAGAUAUAAGUUAUGUCAUGUGUUGGGUCAUCUAUGUUACACGUCUUGUGGUUCUGAGUGAUUAAGAGUUGUUUGGGGCAUUAGGUUUGCACCUUUUUAAGGUGCCUGGUACAACCUUAUUCUGAUAGAGAAAUAAAGCCAACAAGCUAAACUAUUCUUGCUACUUCUCAAUUCUGUCAAAAUGCUGCAACUUUCUCCUUUUUUUGCCAUCCAUUUCGGGAGGAUAUAAAAGACUAAACCAUUUUUUUCUGAUGUAAUGUGCUCGUGAAGCCAUGUGUGUACAAAUAAGUGCUUUUACAGUUGUGGAGGUGUACUUAUCUGUAGUCAUGAAUAAUGCCACAAAAACAUGAAGACCCAAACAACACCCAAUUCGGUUCUGGCUAUUUCUUUUUGCACCGGGUGGUUAAAAGACUAAACAGCCCUUCUGCCACCCCUUGCGUCACCUUGUUCUUAUGUUACUCUUAUAUCGAUAAAUUUAAGA